AUGGACGCCGCCGCGAAAGGGAGGGACGGCGAGGAGAAGAAGGAGGGCGGGCACGGGAAGAGGGUGUCCUUCACGGGGAUGUUCCGGUACGCCGACCGCACGGACCAGCUGCUGAUGCUGGUCGGCACGCUGGCCGCGCUGGCCAACGGCGUCUCGCAGCCGCUCAUGACGGUCAUCUUCGGCGACAUGAUCGACGCCUUCGGCGGCGCCACCAGCGACAACGUCCUCCACCGCGUCAACAAGGCGGUUCUGAGCUUUGUCUACUUGGGUAUCGGAACAGCAGUGGUCUCCUUUCUCCAGGUGGCAUGCUGGACAAUUACUGGAGAAAGGCAGGCCACACGCGUUCGAUCUCUAUACCUCAAAUCUGUCUUGAGACAGGAUAUAUCAUUCUUUGACGUAGAAAUGACAACUGGGCAGAUAGUUUCAAGAAUGUCUGGUGAUACUGUGCUAGUUCAGGAUGCUAUUGGUGAGAAGGUUGGCAAGUUCUUACAACUUGUGGCUACUUUCAUAGGCGGUUUCGUGGUAGCUUUUGUGAAAGGAUGGCUUCUAUCUCUUGUCAUGUUGGCAUGCAUACCUCCAGUUGUAAUUGCAGGAGGAGCAGUGGCAAAAGUGUUAUCUACAAUCUCUAGCAAAGGUCAAGAAUCAUACAGUGAUGCAGCGAAUGUUGUUGAACAGACAAUUGGAUCCAUAAAAACAGUUGCCUCUUUCAAUGGGGAGAAACAGGCCAUCGGAGAUUACAAUAAACUCAUAAACAAAGCAUACAAGACAACUGUCAAGGAAGGACUUGCCAAUGGUUUUGGCAUGGGUUCUGUUUUCUUCAUAUUCUUCUCUAGCUAUGGCUUAGCCAUAUGGUACGGUGGAAAGUUGAUACUUACCAAAGGAUACACAGGCGGAGAAGUCAUCAGUAUCUUGUUCGCUAUCAUGACUGGGGCAAUGUCUUUAGGUAAUGCAACCCCUUGUAUGACAGCCUUUGCAGAGGGACAAUCUGCAGCACACAGAUUGUUCACAACAAUCAAGAGGAAACCAGAGAUUGAUCCUGAUGACAAGACUGGUAGGCAGUUAGAAGAUAUCAAGGGUGAUGUUGAGCUGAGAGAUGUGUAUUUCAGCUACCCAGCAAGGCCUGAGCAACUGAUAUUUGAUGGAUUCUCCUUGCAUGUGUCUAGUGGCACUACAAUGGCUAUAGUUGGGGAGAGUGGAAGUGGCAAGUCAACUGUGAUUAGUCUUGUAGAGAGAUUCUAUGAUCCGCAGGCUGGUGAAGUUUUGAUUGAUGGGAUCAAUAUCAAGAGUUUACAGCUUGAUUCAGUAAGAGGGAAAAUUGGUCUUGUUAGCCAAGAGCCCUUGCUCUUUAUGACCUCAAUUAAAGAUAACAUUACAUAUGGCAAAGAAGGCGCAACAAUUGAGGAGAUCAAGAGAGCCGCUGAGCUCUCCAAUGCAGCAAAUUUCAUUGAUAAGUUGCCCAAUGGUUAUGAUACAAUGGUUGGCCAACGCGGUGCUCAGCUUUCAGGGGGGCAAAAGCAAAGGAUCGCAAUUGCAAGAGCAAUCAUUAAAAACCCCAAAAUACUUUUGUUAGAUGAAGCUACUAGUGCAUUGGAUGUGGAGUCGGAGAGGAUAGUUCAGGAGGCACUGAAUAGGAUCAUGGUGGACAGAACGACGCUUGUAGUUGCUCAUCGUCUAACUACUGUCAGGAAUGCUGAUUGCAUAUCAGUUGUUCAACAAGGAAAGAUAGUUGAACAAGGUCCCCACGAUGAAUUGGUAGUAAACCCAGAUGGUGCAUACUCUCAACUAAUUAGGCUUCAAGAACACAAUGAAGAAGAGCAGAAAGUAGACCAUAGAAGAUUGGAUCCGAGGUCUAAAAGUACAAGCUUGUCAUUGAAGCGAUCGAUUAGCAGAGGUUCUGCAGGGAAUAGUAGUAGGAAUUCUUUCAACCUCUCCUUUGGGCUUCCUGGCGCAGUUGAAUUGCCUGAAGGAAAUGAUACACAUGGGGAGAAUCAUACAGAGCAGGAUGGUGAGGUUCCAAAGAAAGCUCCUAUGGGACGGCUGGCACUUCUUAAUAAACCAGAGGUACUUAUUAUUCUGUUAGGAUCCCUAGCUGCAGCAGUUCACGGAGUGCUUUUCCCAAUGUUCGGCGUGAUGAUUUCCAGUGCCAUUAAAACUUUCUAUGAGCCACCAGAUAAACUCAGAAAGGAUUCUAGCUUUUGGGGUUUGAUGUGUGUGGUGCUGGGUAUCAUUUCGAUAAUCUCAAUACCCGCAGAGCUCUUCUUGUUUGGAAUAGCUGGAGGGAAGCUUAUAGAGCGUAUCCGUGCUAUGUCAUUUCGAAGCAUUGUGCACCAAGAAGUCGCUUGGUUUGAUGAUCCUAAAAAUUCCAGCGGAGCACUUGGUGCACGACUGUCAGUUGAUGCUUUGAAUGUACGGCGUUUAGUGGGAGAUAACUUGGCCUUAACGGUUCAGAUUAUCUCUACACUUAUCACAGGGUUUGUCAUUGCUAUGAUAGCUGACUGGAAGCUCUCUUUGAUCAUCCUCUGCGUGAUUCCAUUAGUGGGCCUUCAAGGUUAUGCCCAAGUGAAGUUCUUGAAGGGUUUCAGUCAAGAUGCCAAGAUGAUGUAUGAAGACGCGAGUCAAGUGGCCACUGAUGCAAUUAGUAGUAUUAGGACCGUAGCUUCAUUUUGUUCUGAGAAAAGAAUUACAAGAAUAUAUGAUGAUAAAUGUGAAGCCUCAAUGAGUCAAGGAGUCAGAACAGGAGUAGUUGGAGGCAUCGGAUUUGGUUUCUCAUUCUUGAUGCUGUACCUUACGUAUGGUCUUUGUUUCUAUGUUGGAGCACAAUUUGUGCGCCAUGGCCAAUCAAGUUUUGGUGACGUUUUCAAGGUUUUCUUUGCACUGGUUUUAGCAACUAUUGGAGUAUCUCAAACAAGUGCAAUGGCCACCGAUUCAACAAAAGCAAAAGAUUCAGCUAUUUCCAUAUUUGCUUUAUUGGACCGAAAGUCUGAAAUAGACUCAAGCCGCAAUGAGGGUUUGACAUUAGAUGAGGUCAAGGGCAACAUCGAUUUCCAGCAUGUCAGCUUCAAGUACCCAACCCGCCCAGAUAUUCAGAUCUUCAGUGACUUUACCCUGCACAUUCCCUCUGGCAAGACUGUUGCCCUUGUUGGAGAGAGUGGUAGCGGCAAGUCAACGGUAAUUGGACUGUUGGAGCGAUUCUACAAUCCUGAUUCAGGCACCAUCUCAUUGGAUGGAGUGGAAAUCAAGAGCUUAAACAUCAAUUGGUUGAGGGACCAAACGGGACUUGUGAGCCAAGAGCCUGUACUCUUCAAUGAUACAAUCCGUGCCAACAUAGCCUAUGGUAAGGAUGGGGAAGUUACUGAGGAGGAGCUAAUUGCAGCUGCAAAGGCAUCCAAUGCGCAUGAGUUCAUAUCAAGCCUUCCCCAAGGAUAUGACACCACAGUUGGGGAGAGGGGGAUACAGCUGUCGGGUGGCCAGAAGCAGCGGGUGGCAAUUGCAAGGGCCAUACUGAAGGACCCCAAGAUACUACUACUUGAUGAGGCGACUAGUGCCUUGGAUGCCGAGUCCGAGCGAAUUGUGCAGGAUGCAUUAGACAAUGUGAUGGUCGGCAGGACCACGGUUGUUGUGGCUCACCGCCUCUCGACGAUCAAAGGUGCUGAUAUCAUUGCGGUUCUCAAGGAUGGUGCAAUAGUUGAGAAAGGAAGGCACGAGGUGCUGAUGAACAUAAAAGAUGGUGUGUACGCUUCACUAGUAGAACUUCGAUCAGCGUCAUCAUAA
RNAcentral lists this ribosomal RNA (3771 nucleotides) under Triticum aestivum (bread wheat). RNAcentral describes it as "partial small subunit ribosomal RNA". The record is from RNAcentral. Lineage: Eukaryota; Viridiplantae; Streptophyta; Magnoliopsida; Poales; Poaceae.